This 321-nucleotide ribosomal RNA is filed under the name uncultured eukaryote. RNAcentral describes it as "partial 18S ribosomal RNA". It matches the Rfam family "Eukaryotic small subunit ribosomal RNA", at positions 1470 to 1796 of the family's 1831-position model. The record is from RNAcentral.
CCCUUAGACGUUCUGGGCCGCACGCGCGCUACACUGACCAGUGCAACAAGCAUCCGUCCUUGGCCGACAGGCUCGGGCAAUCUUUGAACGCUGGUCGUGAUGGGGAUAGACUUUUGCAAUUUUUGGUCUUCAACGAGGAAUUCCUAGUAAACGCAAGUCAUCAACUUGCAUUGAUUACGUCCCUGCCCUUUGUACACACCGCCCGUCGCUCCUACCGAUGGGGUGAUCCGGUGAAUGAUUCGGACUCUGUAGACUCGCCAUGAGUUUUGACGGAGAAAGUCUUGUGAACCUUAUCACUUGGAGGAAGGAGAANUCGUAACA